Molecule: ribosomal RNA, 492 nt
Filed under: uncultured bacterium
Lineage: Bacteria
Description: partial 16S ribosomal RNA
Rfam family: Bacterial small subunit ribosomal RNA
Source: RNAcentral
AGUGAACGCUGGCGGUAGGCCUAACACAUGCAAGUCGAACGGCAGCACAGUAAGAGCUUGCUCUUACGGGUGGCGAGUGGCGGACGGGUGAGGAAUACAUCGGAAUCUACUUUUUCGUGGGGGAUAACGUAGGGAAACUUACGCUAAUACCGCAUACGACCUACGGGUGAAAGCAGGGGAUCUUCGGACCUUGCGCGAUUGAAUGAGCCGAUGUCGGAUUAGCUAGUUGGCGGGGUAAAGGCCCACCAAGGCGACGAUCCGUAGCUGGUCUGAGAGGAUGAUCAGCCACACUGGAACUGAGACACGGUCCAGACUCCUACGGGAGGCAGCAGUGGGGAAUAUUGGACAAUGGGCGCAAGCCUGAUCCAGCCAGUCCGCGUGGGUGAAGAAGGCCUUCGGGUUGUAAAGCCCUUUUGUUGGGAAAGAAAAGCAGCAGGUUAAUACCCCGCUGUUCUGACGGUACCCAAAGAAUAAGCACCGGCUAACUUCGUG